GCAGUUAGCUCAGUUGGUUAGAGUGUGGUGCUGAUAAUGCCGAGGUCAUGGGUUUGACCCCCAUAAGGGGCC
Non-coding RNA from Podarcis lilfordi (Lilford's wall lizard), 72 nucleotides. Lineage: Eukaryota; Metazoa; Chordata; Lepidosauria; Squamata; Lacertidae. The record is from the annotation of a GenBank genome assembly.